This 132-nucleotide small nucleolar RNA is filed under the name Cavia porcellus (domestic guinea pig). RNAcentral describes it as "Small nucleolar RNA SNORA72 (ENSCPOG00000016547.3)". It matches the Rfam family "Small nucleolar RNA SNORA72". From Rfam's summary of the family: U72 is a member of the H/ACA class of snoRNAs. The snoRNA gene is located in intron 4 of the ribosomal L30 protein gene in human, mouse and chicken. The record is from Rfam by way of RNAcentral. RNAcentral also lists the same sequence under 1 other name. Lineage: Eukaryota; Metazoa; Chordata; Mammalia; Rodentia; Caviidae.
CUGCAAAUAUUCUCGCUGUUCUGAUUGUGUCAUAAUCAGGGCAGGCUAAACAUUUGCUAUAGUAAGACCAUGCAUGUGUCCCCAGACCUUGAUCUUUCCCUAGGUCUGGUUUUAUAAAUGCUGCUGAUAAAU